UAGGGAAUCUUCCGCAAUGGGCGAAAGCCUGACGGAGCAACGCCGCGUGAGUGAUGAAGGUCUUCGGAUCGUAAAACUCUGUUAUUAGGGAAGAACAAAUGUGUAAGUAACUAUGCACGUCUUGACGGUACCUAAUCAGAAAGCCACGGCUAACUACGUGCCAGCAGCCGCGGUAAUACGUAGGUGGCAAGCGUUAUCCGGAAUUAUUGGGCGUAAAGCGCGCGUAGGCGGUUUUUUAAGUCUGAUGUGAAAGCCCACGGCUCAACCGUGGAGGGUCAUUGGAAACUGGAAAACUUGAGUGCAGAAGAGGAAAGUGGAAUUCCAUGUGUAGCGGUGAAAUGCGCAGAGAUAUGGGGGAACACCAGUGGCGAAGGCGACUUUCUGGUCUGUAACUGACGCUGAUGGGCGAAAGCGUGGGGAUCAAACAGG
RNAcentral lists this ribosomal RNA (429 nucleotides) under Actinomycetes bacterium. RNAcentral describes it as "Actinobacteria bacterium partial 16S ribosomal RNA". It matches the Rfam family "Bacterial small subunit ribosomal RNA", at positions 355 to 776 of the family's 1533-position model. The record is from RNAcentral. Lineage: Bacteria; Bacillati; Actinomycetota; Actinomycetes.